This 253-nucleotide ribosomal RNA is filed under the name uncultured Nitrosospira sp. RNAcentral describes it as "partial 16S ribosomal RNA". It matches the Rfam family "Bacterial small subunit ribosomal RNA", at positions 524 to 776 of the family's 1533-position model. The record is from RNAcentral. Lineage: Bacteria; Pseudomonadati; Pseudomonadota; Betaproteobacteria; Nitrosomonadales; Nitrosomonadaceae.
UACGUAGGGUGCAGGCGUUAAUCGGAAUUACUGGGCGUAAAGCGUGCGCAGGCGGUCUGUAAAGUCAGAUGUGAAAGCCCCGGGCUCAACCUGGGAAUUGCAUUUGAAACUGGCAGGCUAGAGUGUGGCAGAGGGGGGUGGAAUUCCACGUGUAGCAGUGAAAUGCGUAGAGAUGUGGAGGAACACCGAUGGCGAAGGCAGCCCCCUGGGCCAACACUGACGCUCAGGCACGAAAGCGUGGGGAGCAAACAGG